GUAAACCAAAUGUUUUAAUACUUCAUGUGAGUUUUAUAACCGUACUAUUGACCCAGACUGCCUGUAACAACAUUCUUUAGGCGUUGGAAUAAUAUGACGUUUGUCACCCCAGACCUGCCGGUCNNNNNNNNCCCCCCCAGCCUGCCGGUCCAACUGUAGCUAACAGUUUACGUACGGGAUUGUCAAUCCCGUAUAGAUCUAUACACAAGUAUCACGCUCUCCCUACAGGAGAUUAUGAUUUAUAACACAAGACUUAAAAUGCAUACUUG
This 269-nucleotide long non-coding RNA is filed under the name Lactuca sativa (garden lettuce). RNAcentral's name for it is "long non-coding RNA (LSAT_LNC000131)". The record is from RNAcentral. Lineage: Eukaryota; Viridiplantae; Streptophyta; Magnoliopsida; Asterales; Asteraceae.